Molecule: ribosomal RNA, 794 nt
Filed under: uncultured Lactobacillus sp.
Lineage: Bacteria; Bacillati; Bacillota; Bacilli; Lactobacillales; Lactobacillaceae
Description: bacterial SSU rRNA
Rfam family: Bacterial small subunit ribosomal RNA
Source: RNAcentral
AAGAACACCAGUGGCGAAGGCGGCUGUCUAGUCUGUAACUGACGCUGAGGCUCGAAAGCAUGGGUAGCGAACAGGAUUAGAUACCCUGGUAGUCCAUGCCGUAAACGAUGAGUGCUAAGUGUUGGAGGGUUUCCCCCUUCAGUGCUGCAGCUAACGCAUUAAGCACUCCGCCUGGGGAGUACGACCGCAAGGUUGAAACUCAAAGGAAUUGACGGGGGCCCGCACAAGCGGUGGAGCAUGUGGUUUAAUUCGAAGCUACGCGAAGAACCUUACCAGGUCUUGACAUCUUCUGCCAAUCUUAGAGAUAAGACGUUCCCUUCGGGGACAGAAUGACAGGUGGUGCAUGGUUGUCGUCAGCUCGUGUCGUGAGAUGUUGGGUUAAGUCCCGCAACGAGCGCAACCCUUAUUAUCAGUUGCCAGCAUUCAGUUGGGCACUCUGGUGAGACUGCCGGUGACAAACCGGAGGAAGGUGGGGAUGACGUCAAAUCAUCAUGCCCCUUAUGACCUGGGCUACACACGUGCUACAAUGGACGGUACAACGAGUCGCGAAGUCGUGAGGCUAAGCUAAUCUCUUAAAGCCGUUCUCAGUUCGGAUUGUAGGCUGCAACUCGCCUACAUGAAGUUGGAAUCGCUAGUAAUCGCGGAUCAGCAUGCCGCGGUGAAUACGUUCCCGGGCCUUGUACACACCGCCCGUCACACCAUGAGAGUUUGUAACACCCAAAGCCGGUGAGAUAACCUUCGGGAGUCAGCCGUCUAAGGUGGGACAGAUGAUUAGGGUGAAGUCGUAACAAGGA